This is a non-coding RNA of Triticum aestivum (bread wheat), 135 nucleotides long. The record is from Rfam. NCBI's taxonomy places the organism in Eukaryota, Viridiplantae, Streptophyta, Magnoliopsida, Poales, Poaceae.
UAAGUACUCCCUCCGUCCCAAAAUUCUUGUCUUAGAUUUGUCUAGAUACAGAUGUAUCUAAUACUAAAACGUGACUUGAUACAUCCGUAUCUAGACAAAUCUAAGACAAGAAUUUUGGGACGGAGGGAGUACAUG